This 253-nucleotide ribosomal RNA is filed under the name uncultured bacterium. Its description in RNAcentral is "partial 16S ribosomal RNA". It matches the Rfam family "Bacterial small subunit ribosomal RNA", at positions 524 to 776 of the family's 1533-position model. The record is from RNAcentral.
GACAGAGGGGGCAAGCGUUGCUCGGAAUCACUGGGCGUAAAGGGCGCGUAGGCGGGAUGGCAAGUCGGUCGUGAAAUCCUUCGGCUCAACCGAAGAACGUCGGCCGAUACUGCCGUUCUUGAGGGAUGCAGAGGAGAUUGGAAUUCCCGGUGUAGCGGUGAAAUGUGUAGAGAUCGGGAGGAACACCGGUGGCGAAGGCGGGUCUCUGGGCAUCUCCUGACGCUGAGGCGCGAGAGCGUGGGGAGCAAACCGG